Molecule: long non-coding RNA, 1056 nt
Filed under: Anolis carolinensis (green anole)
Lineage: Eukaryota; Metazoa; Chordata; Lepidosauria; Squamata; Anolidae
Description: lncRNA (ENSACAG00000029587.2)
Source: RNAcentral
AUGGCGGACAGAAAGGAGAAGGAAGGGGAGGAAGAAAAAUUGAACAAAAUUAUAACUACAUUGGAACAUCUUAAAUUAAACAUGGAGAUUUUAAGACGGGGAAAUGAGCAGACAAGAGAGCAAAUCACACAAAUUAAUAGCAAACUCGGGCUGAUAGAGAAUAAAGUAGAAGAAUGCCAAGAAAAGUUUAAGGAGGCAGCAGCGGAGAUCAGAAGACAAAAAGGUGAAUUAAUCAUUCUGAGAGACAUUAAUAGAAAACUUCUAGAUAAAGUUGCUGACCUCGAGGACAGAUCCCGAAGAGCCAAUCUGCAUUUGAGAGCAGCAGGAGAGAGUCUUCAGAUAAAGGAGAAUCUGAAGGGGGUUAUAACUGAAUGGCUUACAACAAAUGCUCAAGUCCCAUCGCAAGAAAUCGAGAGAAUUCAUUGGGCUUUCAGAGGAGGCAGGAAACCCAAGGAUAUUUUGAUACGGUUCACAAGGGAGGCUGAAAGGGACAUUGUUUAUCGAAAAUUGCGGAAAAUGAAGAACCUGACCUUGGCUGGCAGUAAAGUAUGGCCACUCCUGGAUUUAUCUUCAGAGACAUUGGGAAAGAGAGCAGAAAUGAGGGAAAUUACAGGAACUUUGGAAAGGAAAGGACAACGUUAUACCUGGGCUUUUCCAGCCACCCUAAUUGUAUAUAAAGACAAUAAAUUAUAUAAAGCUUCCGACUUGGAAAGUGGGAGGAAAAUGCUUAAACAGUUAAAACUGGAUACAGACGGAAAAGAAACAGACGGUCUGGAGGAGGAAUCAGAUAAGACCAAGGAAAAGCCGACUGGACAAGAAGCAUCGAGGGAGCUGGAGACUGCAGAGAGAGGCGGACCAACAAAGACAGACUUACUUCAGAGUCUAUUUGCAAUGGGAGAUCCAAAGGACAGGGAAGAAAAGAGAACUUUAAGGAAUUUGAAGGACCUGGAUUUAGAACAAAUUAAAUCUAUAGAAAAACAAUUAAGAGAUCUUAAAAAACAGAAAAUUAGAGAGGAGAAUAGAAGAAUUGAAACGAGAUCUUGUACAGAGACUUAA